Molecule: ribosomal RNA, 497 nt
Filed under: uncultured bacterium
Lineage: Bacteria
Description: partial 16S ribosomal RNA
Rfam family: Bacterial small subunit ribosomal RNA
Source: RNAcentral
GACGAACGCUGGCGGCGUGCCUAAUACAUGCAGGUAGAACGCUGAAGCUUGGUGCUUGCACCGAGCGGAUGAGUUGCGAACGGGUGAGUAACGCGUAGGUAACCUGCCUGGUAGCGGGGGAUAACUAUUGGAAACGAUAGCUAAUACGGCAUAAGAGUAGAUGUUGCAUGACAUUUGCUUAAAAGGUGCAAUUGCAUAACUACCAGAUGGACCUGCGUUGUAUUAGCUAGUUGGUGAGGUAACGGCUCACCAAGGCAACGAUACAUAGACGACCUGAGAGGGUGAUCGGCCACACUGGGACUGAGACACGGCCCAGACUCCUACGGGAGGCAGCAGUAGGGAAUCUUCGGCAAUGGACGGAAGUCUGACCGAGCAACGCCGCGUGAGUGAAGAAGGUUUUCGGAGCGUAAAGCUCUGUUGUAAGAGAAGAACGAGUGUGAGAGUGGAAAGUUCACACUGUGACGGUAUCUUACCAGAAAGGGGCGGCUAACUACGUG